This 440-nucleotide ribosomal RNA is filed under the name uncultured Paracoccus sp. RNAcentral describes it as "bacterial SSU rRNA". It matches the Rfam family "Bacterial small subunit ribosomal RNA", at positions 338 to 795 of the family's 1533-position model. Lineage: Bacteria; Pseudomonadati; Pseudomonadota; Alphaproteobacteria; Rhodobacterales; Paracoccaceae. The record is from RNAcentral.
CCUACGGGUGGCUGCAGUGGGGAAUUUUGGACAAUGGGGGCAACCCUGAUCUAGCCAUGCCGCGUGAGUGAUGAAGGCCUUAGGGUUGUAAAGCUCUUUCAGCUGGGAAGAUAAUGACGGUACCAGCAGAAGAAGCCCCGGCUAACUCCGUGCCAGCAGCCGCGGUAAUACGGAGGGGGCUAGCGUUGUUCGGAAUUACUGGGCGUAAAGCGCACGUAGGCGGACCAGAAAGUUGGGGGUGAAAUCCCGGGGCUCAACCCCGGAACUGCCUUCAAAACUAUUGGUCUGGAGUUCGAGAGAGGUGAGUGGAAUACCGAGUGUAGAGGUGAAAUUCGUAGAUAUUCGGUGGAACACCAGUGGCGAAGGCGGCUCACUGGCUCGAUACUGACGCUGAGGUGCGAAAGCGUGGGGAGCGAACAGGAUUAGAUACCCUGGUAGUC